GACCUGAGAGGGUGAUCGGCCACACUGGAACUGAGACACGGUCCAGACUCCUACGGGAGGCAGCAGUAGGGAAUCUUCCGCAAUGGGCGAAAGCCUGACGGAGCAACGCCGCGUGAGUGAUGAAGGUUUUCGGAUCGUAAAACUCUGUUAUCAGGGAAGAACAAAUGUGUAAGUAACUGUGCACAUCUUGACGGUACCUGAUCAGAAAGCCACGGCUAACUACGUGCCAGCAGCCGCGGUAAUACGUAGGUGGCAAGCGUUAUCCGGAAUUAUUGGGCGUAAAGCGCGCAUAGGCGGUUUUUUAAGUCUGAUGUGAAAGCCCACGGCUCAACCGUGGAGGGUCAUUGGAAACUG
Molecule: ribosomal RNA, 354 nt
Filed under: bacterium LimA-1-J-12
Lineage: Bacteria
Description: bacterial SSU rRNA
Rfam family: Bacterial small subunit ribosomal RNA
Source: RNAcentral